GGGGGGGGGGGGGGGGGGGGGGGGGCAGGGGGGGCGGGGGGGGAGGGCGCGGUGGGGGUGGUCGAGGGGGGGGCGGGGGAGGUACUCGUGAGUGGGCUGUCGUUUCCUUUGGCUUUGGUUGAGGGUGGUGGGGCGCCUCUCGUGUAGGAACGCUUGCUGCAUGGUUGCGCGUGGACAGCUUCGGCGGUUUUGGCUGGACUCGCGGUUUAUCAGCUUGUUGGUUGGGUAGUGGCUUGCCAAGGCUUUGCCGGGUAGCCGGCCUGAGAGGGCGAUCGGCCACAUUGGGACUGAGAUACGGCCCAGACUCCUACGGGAGGCAGCAGUGGGGAAUAUUGCACAAUGGGCGGAAGCCUGAUGCAGCAACGCCGCGUGCGGGAGGACGGCCUUCGGGUUGUAAACCGCUUUCAGCAGGGGCGAAGCUUGUGGUGACGGUACCUGCAGAAGAAGCACCGGCUAACUACGUG
RNAcentral lists this ribosomal RNA (464 nucleotides) under uncultured bacterium. Its description in RNAcentral is "partial 16S ribosomal RNA". The stretch from base 90 to 464 matches the Rfam family "Bacterial small subunit ribosomal RNA", at positions 1 to 507 of the family's 1533-position model. The record is from RNAcentral.